RNAcentral lists this ribosomal RNA (629 nucleotides) under Rhodococcus sp. (in: high G+C Gram-positive bacteria). Its description in RNAcentral is "bacterial SSU rRNA". It matches the Rfam family "Bacterial small subunit ribosomal RNA", at positions 163 to 806 of the family's 1533-position model. The record is from RNAcentral. Lineage: Bacteria; Bacillati; Actinomycetota; Actinomycetes; Mycobacteriales; Nocardiaceae.
CUAAUACCGGAUAGGACUGCGCGGUGCAUGCCGUGUGGUGGAAAGAUUUAUCGGUGCAGGAUGGGCCCGCGGCCUAUCAGCUUGUUGGUGGGGUAAUGGCCUACCAAGGCGACGACGGGUAGCCGGCCUGAGAGGGCGACCGGCCACACUGGGACUGAGACACGGCCCARACUCCUACGGGAGGCAGCAGUGGGGAAUAUUGCACAAUGGGCGCAAGCCUGAUGCAGCGACGCCGCGUGAGGGAUGACGGCCUUCGGGUUGUAAACCUCUUUCAGCAGGGACRAAGCGCAAGUGACGGUACCUGCARAAGAAGCACCGGCCAACUACGUGCCAGCAGCCGCGGUAAUACGUAGGGUGCAAGCGUUGUCCGGAAUUACUGGGCGUAAAGAGCUCGUAGGCGGUUUGUCGCGUCGUCUGUGAAAACCAGCAGCUCAACUGUUGGCUUGCAGGCGAUACGGGCARACUUGAGUAUUUCAGGGGAGACUGGAAUUCCUGGUGUAGCGGUGAAAUGCGCAGAUAUCAGGAGGAACACCGGUGGCGAAGGCGGGUCUCUGGGAAAUAACUGACGCUGAGGAGCGAAAGCGUGGGUAGCGAACAGGAUUAGAUACCCUGGUAGUCCACGCCGUAAA